This 492-nucleotide ribosomal RNA is filed under the name uncultured bacterium. Its description in RNAcentral is "partial 16S ribosomal RNA". It matches the Rfam family "Bacterial small subunit ribosomal RNA", at positions 29 to 507 of the family's 1533-position model. The record is from RNAcentral.
AGUGAACGCUGGCGGUAGGCCUAACACAUGCAAGUCGAACGGCAGCACAGUAAGAGCUUGCUCUUACGGGUGGCGAGUGGCGGACGGGUGAGGAAUACAUCGGAAUCUACUUUUUCGUGGGGGAUAACGUAGGGAAACUUACGCUAAUACCGCAUACGACCUACGGGUGAAAGCAGGGGAUCUUCGGACCUUGCGCGAUUGAAUGAGCCGAUGUCGGAUUAGCUAGUUGGCGGGGUAAAGGCCCACCAAGGCGACGAUCCGUAGCUGGUCUGAGAGGAUGAUCAGCCACACUGGAACUGAGACACGGUCCAGACUCCUACGGGAGGCAGCAGUGGGGAAUAUUGGACGAUGGGCGCAGGCCUGAUCCAGCCAUACCGCGUGGGUGAAGAAGGCCUUCGGGUUGUAAAGCCCUUUUGUUGGGAAAGAAAAGCAGCAGGUGAAUACCCCGCUGUUCUGACGGUACCCAAAGAAUAAGCACGGGCUAACUUCGUG